UGACCCUUUUAAGCCGAGGGUCACCUAGCCAACUGACGUUGUUAGUGAAUUUAUUUAUUCACAUUUUUCAGCCAGUCACUGUUUUGUGACUGGCUUUUUUUUU
RNAcentral lists this small RNA (103 nucleotides) under Vibrio aerogenes CECT 7868. RNAcentral describes it as "Qrr RNA". It matches the Rfam family "Qrr RNA". Rfam says of the family: This family represents a set of small RNAs (the Qrr RNAs) that are thought to be involved in the regulation of quorum sensing in Vibrio species. It is believed that these RNAs, guided by a protein, Hfq, can mediate the destabilisation of the quorum-sensing master regulators LuxR/HapR mRNAs. The record is from Rfam by way of RNAcentral. Lineage: Bacteria; Pseudomonadati; Pseudomonadota; Gammaproteobacteria; Vibrionales; Vibrionaceae.